Molecule: ribosomal RNA, 330 nt
Filed under: uncultured eukaryote
Lineage: Eukaryota
Description: partial 18S ribosomal RNA
Rfam family: Eukaryotic small subunit ribosomal RNA
Source: RNAcentral
CCCUUAGAUGUUCUGGGCCGCACGCGCGCUACACUGUUCGACGCAGCGAGUCUUAACCUUGACCGAAAGGUUUGGGUAAUCUUCAGCAAAGUCGAACGUGAUGGGGAUCGAUCAUUGCAAUUAUUGAUCGUGAACGAGGAAUUCCUAGUAAGUGCAAGUCAUCAGCUUGCGCUGAUUACGUCCCUGCCCUUUGUACACACCGCCCGUCGCUCCUACCGAUUGAAUGAUCCGAUGAAUACCAUGGAUUGAGGGUACGAAUAGGUUCGCUUAUUUCUGCUUCUCGAGAAGUGGAGUAAAUCUUAUCAUUUAGAGGAAGGAGAAGUCGUAACA